This 132-nucleotide transfer RNA is filed under the name Lupinus albus (white lupine). Its description in RNAcentral is "hypothetical ncRNA". The stretch from base 2 to 74 matches the Rfam family "tRNA". Rfam says of the family: Transfer RNA (tRNA) molecules are approximately 80 nucleotides in length. Their secondary structure includes four short double-helical elements and three loops (D, anti-codon, and T loops). Further hydrogen bonds mediate the characteristic L-shaped molecular structure. tRNAs have two regions of fundamental functional importance: the anti-codon, which is responsible for specific mRNA codon recognition, and the 3' end, to which the tRNAs corresponding amino acid is attached (by aminoacyl-tRNA synthetases). tRNAs cope with the degeneracy of the genetic code in two manners: having more than one tRNA (with a specific anti-codon) for a particular amino acid; and 'wobble' base-pairing, i.e. permitting non-standard base-pairing at the 3rd anti-codon position. The record is from RNAcentral. Lineage: Eukaryota; Viridiplantae; Streptophyta; Magnoliopsida; Fabales; Fabaceae.
GACCUACUUAACUCAGUGGUUAGAGUAUUGCUUUCAUACGGCGGGAGUCAUUGGUUCAAAUCCAAUAGUAGGUAAGGUGUAGGUAGAACUUAUUAGAUACCGUUGACUCGGAUAUCUAAUAAGUUCUACCUA